This 255-nucleotide ribosomal RNA is filed under the name uncultured cyanobacterium. RNAcentral's name for it is "partial 16S ribosomal RNA". It matches the Rfam family "Bacterial small subunit ribosomal RNA", at positions 1278 to 1533 of the family's 1533-position model. The record is from RNAcentral. Lineage: Bacteria; Bacillati; Cyanobacteriota.
AAACCGUGGCUCAGUUCAGAUCGUAGGCUGCAACUCGCCUACGUGAAGGAGGAAUCGCUAGUAAUCGCAGGUCAUCAUACUGCGGUGAAUACGUUCCCGGGCCUUGUACACACCGCCCGUCACACCAUGGAAGUUGGCCACGCCCGAAGCCGUUACUCCACCCUUGUGGAGGAGGACGUCGAAGGUGGGGCUGAUGACUGGGGUGAAGUCGUAACAAGGUACCGUACCGGAAGGUGCGGCUGGAUCACCUCCUAA